This 115-nucleotide ribosomal RNA is filed under the name Ipomoea nil (Japanese morning glory). The record is from RNAcentral. Lineage: Eukaryota; Viridiplantae; Streptophyta; Magnoliopsida; Solanales; Convolvulaceae.
GCAUGCGAUCAUACAGCACUAAUGCACCGGAUCCAUCAGAACUCGAAUUAGCGUGCUUGGGCGAGCAGCAGUACUAGGAUGGGUGACCCCCUGGAUAGUCCUCGUGUUGCAUCCC